GGCGGCGUAGCUCAGUUGGUUAGAGCGCAGGACUCAUAAGCCUGAGGUCACUGGUUCAAAUCCAGUCGCCGCUACCA
RNAcentral lists this transfer RNA (77 nucleotides) under Candidatus Saccharimonadota bacterium. Its description in RNAcentral is "tRNA-Met". It matches the Rfam family "tRNA". Rfam says of the family: Transfer RNA (tRNA) molecules are approximately 80 nucleotides in length. Their secondary structure includes four short double-helical elements and three loops (D, anti-codon, and T loops). RNAcentral also lists the same sequence under 1 other name. The record is from RNAcentral. Lineage: Bacteria; Candidatus Saccharimonadota.